UGUAAAGUUCCUUCGAAGAGUCGAGUUGUUUGGGAAUGCAGCUCUAAGUGGGUGGUAAAUUCCAUCUAAAGCUAAAUAUUGGCGAGAGACCGAUAGCGAACAAGUACAGUGAUGGAAAGAUGAAAAGAACUUUGAAAAGAGAGUGAAAAAGUACGUGAAAUUGUUGAAAGGGAAGGGCUUGAGAUCAGACUUGGUAUUUUGUAUGUUACUUCUUCGGGGGUGGCCUCUACAGUUUAUCGGGCCAGCAUCAGUUUGGGCGGUAGGAGAAUUGCGUUGGAAUGUGGCACGGCUUCGGUUGUGUGUUAUAGCCUUCGUCGAUACUGCCAGCCUAGACUGAGGACUGCGGUUUAUACCUAGGAUGUUGGCAUAAUGAUCUUAAGUCGCCCGUCUUGAAACACGGACCAAGGAGUCUAACGUCUAUGCGAGUGUUUGGGUGUAAAACCCGUACGCGUAAUGAAAGUGAACGUAGGUGGGGGCCCGUAUGGGUGCACCAUCGACCGAUCCUGAUGUCUUCGGAUGGAUUUGAGUAAGAGCAUAGCUGUUGGGACCCGAAAGAUGGUGAACUAUGCCUGAAUAGGGUGAAGCCAGAGGAAACUCUGGUGGAGGCUCGUAGCGGUUCUGACGUGCAAAUCGAUCGUCGAAUUUG
This 646-nucleotide ribosomal RNA is filed under the name Candida tropicalis. RNAcentral's name for it is "partial large subunit ribosomal RNA". It matches the Rfam family "Eukaryotic large subunit ribosomal RNA", at positions 245 to 913 of the family's 3401-position model. Lineage: Eukaryota; Fungi; Ascomycota; Pichiomycetes; Serinales; Debaryomycetaceae. The record is from RNAcentral.